Molecule: non-coding RNA, 114 nt
Organism: Acanthosepion pharaonis
Lineage: Eukaryota; Metazoa; Mollusca; Cephalopoda; Sepiida; Sepiidae
Source: the annotation of a GenBank genome assembly
UUACGGCUAUAUCAUGUUGAAACGACGGUUCCCGUCCGAUCACAGAAGUUAAGAAACGUCGAACCCGGUCAGUACGUAGAUGGGUUGCCACAUGGGAAUAACUGCUGCUGUAAG